GUUGAACGCUGGCGGCAGGCCUAACACAUGCAAGUCGAGCGGAAACGAGUUAUCUGAACCUUCGGGGAACGAUAACGGCGUCGAGCGGCGGACGGGUGAGUAAUGCCUAGGAAAUUGCCCUGAUGUGGGGAUAACUAUUGGAAACGAUAGCUAAUACCGCAUAAUGCCUACGGGCCAAAGAGGGGGACCUUCGGGCCUCUCGCGCUAAGAUUAGCCCAGGUGGGAUUAGCUAGUUGGUGGGGUAACGGCUCACCAAGGCGACGAUCCCUAGCUGGUCUGAGAGGAUGAUCAGCCACACUGGAACUGAGACACGGUCCAG
This 319-nucleotide ribosomal RNA is filed under the name uncultured bacterium. RNAcentral describes it as "bacterial SSU rRNA". It matches the Rfam family "Bacterial small subunit ribosomal RNA", at positions 28 to 334 of the family's 1533-position model. The record is from RNAcentral.